AACGAACGCUGGCGGCAUGCCUAACACAUGCAAGUCGAACGAGACCUUCGGGUCUAGUGGCGCACGGUUGCGUAACGCGUGGGAACCUGCCCUUAGGUUCGGAAUAACUCCCCGAAAGGGGUGCUAAUAUCGGAUAAUGUCUUCGGACCAAAGAUUUAUCGCCUUUGGAUGGGCUCGCGUUGGAUUAGCUAGUUGGUAGGGUAAAAGCCUACCAAGGCGACGAUCCAUAGCUGGUCUGAGAGGGUGAUCAGCCACACUGGGACUGAGACACGGCCCAGACUCCUACGGGAGGCAGCAGUGGGGAAUAUUGGACAAUGGGCGACAGCCUAAUCCAGCAAUGCCGCGUGAGUGAUGAAGGCCUUAGGGUUGUAAAGCUCUUUUACCCGGGAUGAUAAUGACAGUACCGGGAGAAUAAGCUCCGGCUAACUCCGUG
Molecule: ribosomal RNA, 433 nt
Filed under: uncultured bacterium
Lineage: Bacteria
Description: partial 16S ribosomal RNA
Rfam family: Bacterial small subunit ribosomal RNA
Source: RNAcentral